UCUUCAGCCUCCUUCCGCCACGCCCGUGCCUCCACUACCAGUAAUGUGCCGCCCCCACCUCCCACCGCGGUCGCCGCCCGCAACUACGACCGCGGCUGCCGCCACCUAUCUCCCGCCACGGCCGCCGCACCCAUCUCUCGCUGCGGCUGCCGCCCCAAACUCCCACCGCUGCUGCCUCCCCCAACUCCCGCCGCGGCUGCCGCACCCACAUCCUGCCGCGGCUGCCGCACCUAACUCCCGCCGCGGCUGCCGCCCGCCAUCGGUCCUCUCCUCCACGAGCCCCAGCGUGGAUCCCCUGCAGCGGCCAAAUCCCGGCGCGCUCAGCCGCAGCUCCUGAACCCCGCUUCCAUCAGCUCCACUCCACCGGAGCGGUCAGUCCGUAGGAGUUGUGGUAGCAGGUCCACUUCCUCUACUGGUCGACACCCGCGAGGCCGUCUAUACUCUUUGCCGAGCUUCUCUACCAUUAGUGGCCGCUCCGCCCACCGGCUAUCGGCCAGAGGUGAAUUCUUCUCAGCUAAGAGCAUGGACCCCUUUCAAGGAUGCAAAUUGGGAAGCUCUGGUGUUAUCACCAUCCAAAUUCUGUUCUUCAGAUAUGCAAGAUUCUUCAUUGUUUAUCGGUUGCUUAGGGCACAUGGUUACGUUGGUGAGACAUCUCUACUCCAGGGGUGGGAGGCACACGGCGGCCAGAGGUGGGAGGUGCGCGUCAGCCGGAGGUGGGAGGCGCGCGUCAACUGGAGGUGGGAGGCGCAUGACAGCCGGGGUGGGAGCCCCCCUGUGCAGCUGUGGAGUCCGUCCUGGCUGAGCUGCUCAGGCUGUUCAACUUUGCGUCUCCGGUCGCUCGGCCAAUGCUUGGCGAGGAGCGACCCAGUCUCGCUCGUGUGUGGAGUUUGGAGCAUCUCCUACCACUGUGUUCUACUCUCCUCUAUUUUCAACUGAACGUGCUUCCAUUUAUGGAUAUCCCCUUGACUCCACAACAAGUUGAAUCCCACAAAUCCUACUGGUAAGUGCAAGAUUCAGUACUGUCCUUUUGAUUUUCUAUAAAAAAGGACAAUCCUUCUUGUUGCUUGACAUAGAGUACUGACAUCCAUCCACGGAACAAUCAAGCAACCAUGUAUGGAUGCCUUUAUCGACCCACCAAUGUGUCGCGGAUGUGAUCUUUGUGCACUUUUGAGUGUUGUAAAAAACUUAUAUGCUUCUGGUUGGUGCUCGCUGCCACUGGCGAAUUGUGCAAGUGCAAAAAGUUUUAUAUCGCAAGUUUAAAGAGGGUUUUAUGCAAGUUCAGAAGUCUAUUUUGAGCAUCUUUAGGUGUUUGUUGUAAUGCAGAAAAGAUAUUUUAAUGUUCCAAAACAAACCUAGUGAAAAAUUCAUGUUUAAAAUAGUUUGCCAAAUUGUCUCAGUGCACUGGACUACUAGCUUUCAUGUGUUUCAUGUUAAUUUGUAGCUACCUCUUGCUUGUUAAUUGCUAUAGCUUACAAUACAUAAUGAUUUUUUCGUGUGUGAUCAGUACUUUAGGUGCUAAUCAAGGAAUAGGUAGGGUUAUUCAGAUUGAGGAUCUUAACUAAUCAUGUUAAUGGUUGUUCUUGCUCCCUGUGCUUUACAGCGACUACUCCAGAAAAAAGCCACUAGAAUGUGCUGCGCUCAGUACUCUCUUGACAAAUCGAGCAGUGCAGGUUCUCUAGUGUGCCGAAAUAUUGCCAGCAGCGAUGCCUGCAUCAUGGCCCAUUGAUGAGAUGCUGCUUUUCUGUAUGCAUAUUUGUCUAUUUAGUUUUGUGUACUAUUGUUUGUCCCAAUUGAUCCUUGUGUUAAUCCUUGUAUGUCGUGCACUUCUGAUCUCAUCAUGAAGUGAAAAAAGACAAGCGAGCUAAGUACUUGUUUGGAAAGUUUGCAAGAACACAUAAACCUAAAAGGAGUUCAUUGAAAAACUUUGGUUUCAUUCAAAAAAUGUGAUUUUUGGUUGGAAAAUGAUGUUUUUUCUGCUCACAUAAAAUUGAUUAUGUGGCUGUUGCAUUGGAGUUACUCUGACCCAUGCAAAAUAAAUUACAGUAAGCAAAAAAGAAAAUCUAUUUACGUACGGAUGUAGACAAAUUUCUGGAGCACAAUAGACUCAUCGUGUAUCAGUUGACCAUUCAUUCAGUUACUUCAAGCUCGUCAGUUGCUUCAACGACGGGAGGACAGGGCGGCGACGUGUUCGAGGACUGCGACUGGCGGCAGAGAUUGGUUCAUGGACCGGCUCCCGCCGGCGUAGGAGAACGCUGGCCGGUGAUGGAUCUUGAGCACCGCCUCCGGUUCCCUAUGCUCAGGCGACCCUGGUUACCACCGGCACGCGUGUGUGGGCGGUCCUCCGAGGUAGAUGGAUCUUGAGCACCGCCUCCGGUUCCCUAUGCUCAGGCGACCCUGGUUACCACCGGCACGCGUGUGUGGGCGGUCCUCCGAGGUAGCUCUCCUUUUGUGUUGUCCGCAGCCGCCCACGCAUGCUGCCCCGAUUUCUACCUCGCCUCUGACCUUGAUUGACUACUAUUGUUGGUAGGUGUUUCAUGAAUGCACCGAUGAAGCAUCAUGUGAACUGAAGGUUUUCUUGCCCACCAUCUAUUUAUGAAAUUCCUACAAGAACUAAUGAUGAGAUUGGUGUUCCAAACACACAAGCUAAAGCGGAUUUUCAUAUAGCUACAUCUAGUGAACUUCAGCUCACCUCUAAUAAAUACCUUUUUUGUGUUUCUUUUUUAAGUCAUUAUAUGCUCUCAAAAUGUUUAUGUUUAUGCCUCAAAACGAGAGAGAGAAAACUAGUACAUGUGUCUCACGCUUUGUUACAUAACAUUUUAAUUAUCUUUACCACAAAGCUUCAUCUAUCCAGAGAAGUUCAAAGUAAAGAUUAGUUCACACUUUAGGUUCUGCUCCUUUGGUCUAUUUGUUCAGUUCUGACUCCUUCAGUUUUGGUUGCAGAGAAAGUUCAAAUUUCAUGCUCCUUUAAUUUUUGUUAAGUCAGGGAGAGUCAGGUUUUGCUUGGGCAUCAUCUCGUAUCGUCCGUUCAGCAAAAGCCUCCAGAUAAGUUCAGACUUGUGGUUUUGCUCAUUGGUUUAAUUCCUCAGUCCAAACUCCUUGGGUUUUUGUUCCAGAGAAGUUAAAGAAAACCUGUAGAAGUUUGUGGUAAGAUAUCUUUCACUUGAAGCAGGAACAUCAACUGCCACAUUGAUACUUACAAGAAUUCAGCCAUGUUUGCUUAUUGACCAUGGAUGCGCCCAACGAAGGACAACGAUAGGCAAAAAAAUACUAGUGCAUCUGCUUGCCUCCUCUUCAUACUCCAUACUGGAAAACAUCCUUUCCCCCUCUGUUUUCUUUGGUAUGUUUUCAUUAAAAGACCUCAGAAUAGCAAGUAGAAGUUCGACAAAAAGGAUUGACAUCAGUUCAACCGUAGAAAGAGAACAAGUCCAGUGAAGGAGGAGGCGGCAAAACAUAUAGCUUAUCUAUCUAGUCGAGCUUACUGACUGAAUCAGUUAAAAUGAUUUGAUUUUUAGUUCAUCUUCUGGGUUAUAGACCAGUCACAUGUACUUGUGUCAGGUCGCCUGCAAAUUUGUUAUCGUUGUCUAUUCAUGUGUGUUCUUCUUGUCA
RNA transcript from Triticum dicoccoides, 3606 nucleotides. RefSeq lists it as uncharacterized. The transcript is spliced from 4 exons. NCBI's taxonomy places the organism in Eukaryota, Viridiplantae, Streptophyta, Magnoliopsida, Poales, Poaceae. The record is from RefSeq and is a predicted model, not a curated record.